CGAUGUCGGCUCAUCACAUCCUGGGGCUGAAGUAGGUCCCAAGGGUAUGGCUGUUCGCCAUUUAAAGUGGUACGCGAGCUGGGUUUAGAACGUCGUGAGACAGUUCGGUCCCUAUCUGCCGUGGGCGUUGGAAGAUUGAAAGGGGCUGCUCCUAGUACGAGAGGACCGGAGUGGACGCACCGCUGGUGUUCGGGUUGUCAUGCCAAUGGCACUGCCCGGUAGCUAAGUGCGGAAGAGAUAACCGCUGAAAGCAUCUAAGCGGGAAACUUGCCUUGAGAUGAGUCUUCCCUGACUCUUUAAGGGUCCUAAAGGAACGUUUAAGACGAAGACGUUGAUAGGCUGGGUGUGUAAGCGUAGCGAUACGUUGAGCUAACCAGUACUAAUGAACCGUGAGGCUUAACCUGACAACACCGAAGGUGUUUUAG
RNAcentral lists this ribosomal RNA (425 nucleotides) under Morganella morganii. RNAcentral's name for it is "partial 23S ribosomal RNA". It matches the Rfam family "Bacterial large subunit ribosomal RNA", at positions 2527 to 2925 of the family's 2925-position model. Lineage: Bacteria; Pseudomonadati; Pseudomonadota; Gammaproteobacteria; Enterobacterales; Morganellaceae. The record is from RNAcentral.